RNAcentral lists this small RNA (913 nucleotides) under Pongo abelii (Sumatran orangutan). RNAcentral describes it as "processed transcript". Lineage: Eukaryota; Metazoa; Chordata; Mammalia; Primates; Hominidae. The record is from RNAcentral.
GCCGGUUAGAAGCUCUGCUCCCCGGCGGGGACACUCAGUCGCGUCGGCACCGCGGAGCGGGCUGCGUCAGGUGGCUGGCCGGCGCGGCGCUCCCCUGCUCUCUGGCUCCGGACUGCGGCGCGGCGGCUGGAGCGAGCCCCUGUCCCGGCGCGGGGCGGCGGCGGGCGGCCGGCAGGCGCUGCCUUGCGUGUGAGUGCACCUCACUCACAUGUGCUGGAGAAUCUGGUAAAAGCACCAUUGUGAAGCAGAUGAGGAUCCUGCAUGUUAAUGGGUUUAAUGGAGAGGGCGGCGAAGAGGACCCGCAGGCUGCAAGGAGCAACAGCGAUGGCAGUGAGAAGGCAACCAAAGUGCAGGACAUCAAAAACAACCUGAAAGAGGCGAUUGAAACCAUUGUGGCCGCCAUGAGCAACCUGGUGCCCCCCGUGGAGCUGGCCAACCCCGAGAACCAGUUCAGAGUGGACUACAUUCUGAGUGUGAUGAACGUGCCUGACUUUGACUUCCCUCCCGAAUUCUAUGAGCACGCCAAGGCUCUGUGGGAGGAUGAAGGAGUGCGUGCCUGCUACGAACGCUCCAACGAGUACCAGCUGAUUGACUGUGCCCAGUACUUCCUGGACAAGAUCGAUGUGAUCAAGCAGGCUGACUAUGUGCCGAGCGAUCAGGACCUGCUUCGCUGCCGCGUCCUGACUUCUGGAAUCUUUGAGACCAAGUUCCAGGUGGACAAAGUCAACUUCCACAUGUUUGACGUGGGUGGCCAGCGCGACGAACGCCGCAAGUGGAUCCAGUGCUUCAACGAUGUGACUGCCAUCAUCUUCGUGGUGGCCAGCAGCAGCUACAACAUGGUCAUCCGGGAGGACAACCAGACCAACCGCCUGCAGGAGGCUCUGAACCUCUUCAAGAGCAUCUGGAACAACAG